AGCUCUAAUAGUAUAUAUUAGUGUUGUUGCAGUUAAAACGCUCGUAGUUGGAUUGUGGGGCACUGUGACUGAGUCUCACCGUUUGGUGUUGUUUCUCUGGUCGUUUAGUGUUUCCCUUACACUUCCUGAAGACCUGGCAUUGUCCUUACCGGCAGUGUCAUGGGAUUCUGGACUUUUACUUUGAAAAAAUUAGAGUGUUCAAAGCAGGCAUGUAUCGCUUGAAUAAAUUAGCAUGGAAUAAUAAAAUAGGAUGUCGAUUCUAUUUUGUUGGUUUCUGCAGAGUUGACAUAAUGAUUGAUUGGGACGGCCAGGGUCAUUUGUAUUUAAUUGUCAGAGGUGAAAUUCUUGGAUUUGUGAAAGACAGACUUCUGCGAAAGCAUUUGACAGGAAUGUUUUCUUCAA
Molecule: ribosomal RNA, 402 nt
Filed under: Eryniopsis sp.
Lineage: Eukaryota; Fungi; Entomophthoromycota; Entomophthoromycetes; Entomophthorales; Entomophthoraceae
Description: partial small subunit ribosomal RNA
Rfam family: Eukaryotic small subunit ribosomal RNA
Source: RNAcentral